Harpia harpyja (harpy eagle) is the source of this 8749-nucleotide RNA transcript. It is a transcript of the gene named MICAL like 2, with no coding region annotated. The transcript is spliced from 17 exons. The record is from RefSeq and is a predicted model, not a curated record. Lineage: Eukaryota; Metazoa; Chordata; Aves; Accipitriformes; Accipitridae.
GACUGCUGGAAGGUGGAGACAUCCUAAAACCUCAUCCUGCCUGGACACUUCACUCCAGGAUGGGAUUUGAGUUUCUCUUGUUCUCUCCAUGAAGAAAGUGGGCAGGCCAACCCCCUCCUGCCCUGGAUUCAAGCAUGGACUUAGUGCUCCAAGGAAGGGUUUUUUCCUCCCUCUCACCCUCACAAAGAGAGAGGCAGCAGAUUAAAAUGCUUCUCUUCCCUUGGCAUCGCUCCACACAGCUUCGUGGCUGCUUGGCAGGAGAUUGGGAUGUGAAUGAACCACGGCAGCUUACUCUUGUCUGGACUGGAGGAAUGACAUCGUCUGACGCAGUGAGCUGUCUGAGGUGGUCCUUGCCUCCGGGAGAGCUAAACUCGCACCCCCCACGCUCCUUAGCUUCCGCUCCCCUUCAGCCCUGGCCGUGUUCACAGCGCCUGUGAUGGACCCCCCUCUCCCCAAGCUGGGACUGCAGUAUGUGAGCAGUUAGUUAUUCACACUCUCUGGGGUUCAGCCCUGCGUGUUCCUCUCCUCUAGGCAUUUCGAGUGGCGGAGGAGGAGCUGGGGAUUCCAGCCUUGCUGGAUGCAGAGGAUAUGGUUGCUCUGAGGGUACCAGACAGGCUGAGCAUCCUCACCUAUGUUUCCCAGUAUUAUAACUACUUCCAUGGACGGUCUCCUAUUGGAGGCAUGGCUGGAAUCAAGCGUCCUUCCUCUGAACCUCAGGAGCAGCCUCUUGGGAAGAAAGCUGUUGCAGAGCCUCCUAAGCCAGUGCCACCAAAACUGCCACCUGCUCACCCACCAGCCAGAGCUAAGCCAAAAGAAACAUCCCCAGUCACCACGAAAAGGGUCCUGGCAGAGAGUGGGAAUAUCCCUAGCAGCAGUUGUGGGAUCUGUAGGAACCAUGUGCACCUGGUGCAGCGCUACUUGGUUGAUGGGAAGCUCUAUCACAGGAACUGCUUCAGGUGCAGGCAGUGUUGGAACGUGCUUCUUCCUGGAAGCUACAAAGCUGGGCCCGAGCCCGGUACGUUCAUCUGUACCAGCCACCAGCAGCCAGACAAUGUCCAGAUCUCUGGUCUCCGCAGCACCGGCAACAAACCUGAGAGUACCCCAGCCCCUACUGCUGCCAGGGCAUUCCAGAAAGCAGCAGAACCCAAGAAACCGGAGCAGGUGUUGAAGAAACCCAGCCAGGAAGGCCUUGCUAAUUCAACCAAGCCAUCUGUUUCAUCUUCUGGAAGCUCUGGCUUCAGAAGUGUAAAUACUCCAUGGUCCUGUUCAGCUGUAAAUAAAUCAGAUGACUGCAAAGGUACCCCGUUGGGAAAUAAAACAGAUCACCAUGAAGGUACCCCAUCAGGGCCUUUUUGGACAACCUCCACAGCAAAAACACAGCAAGCCCGAGAAAUUUUUUUGCGGUCAUUAGAGUCCUCCAGCAAUAAAACCUCUGACACUAAAACCCAAGUCACUACUUCUCAUGGCCGUGGUAAAACUGCCUCUGCCAGAACAACUACUGAGGUCAGUCCAGUGAAUGCUGAGAAGGAUCAGGCACGUAACAAUAUUAUACAGGCUCUGGCUGGAUCAAACACCUCUCCAAACAGGCCAGGGGGACUCAGUUCCACUGGCUUGUCAGCGUUCAGCAGUGGCAAGUUUUCUCCCACCAGUUCUCAGUGGCAGAGUCCAGCUCCAAAAGUACAGUCCAGCAAAACAGGGUACACAGCACUAAAACAAGAAAAGAUUACAGACCCCCUGCCCAAGAGCCAGGCCGCCAGCAAACCUGUUGACCCUGUGCACAAGCCAGAGUCAAAAGGCAUCAAAGGAAGCGUGAAUGUUGGUGAAGACAAGUCUGAGUGCCCAGCUGAGUGGAGAUCUCGGCUGAAGCCUGUAGCCAACAAAGACCAAGGUGGCUCUAAGAAACCUACUGAUAACUCCCAGGUGGGAACAGGGAGCCCAGCACACAAGGAGACAAAGCCAAGUCCCUUAGUUGUCCCAUCAGGAAAGCAGGACUCUGCUUCAUCUGGUGGAUUCAUGAAGAAGAAGUUGAUCCCCAGCUCAGAUCCUGUCAGGAGCUGUCAGAAUUCAAAGCACGGCUGGGAAGACCCUGGGGGCUCUGCCAAGAAGGAGGAAGAGGGCAACCAGUUGAAGAAAAGCACUAUCACAUUUAAACCCUCUAUUCCAAAAAGCACCCAGAGCCCUGAAGCAGUGUCCCCAACCAAGCUGCACCCGGACUACCUCCCUGAGGAGGAAAUCCAGGAGAAGGUGUGUGAUAUCGAGAAGCAGCUGGAUGAGCUGGAAUUGAAAGGAGUGGAUCUGGAGAAGCAGCUGCGUGGCUGUGAAGGAGAUGAGUCUGAGGAUGCCCUCAUGGUGGAUUGGUUCAAACUGAUCCAUGAGAAACAGCUGCUGCUCAGACAGGAAUCAGAGCUGAUGUACAAGAUGAAACAGCAGAAGCUGGAGGAGCAGCAGUGGAACAUUGAGAUGGAGCUGAGACACCUCAUGAGCAAGCCAGAGGAACUGAAGUCAUCCAUGGAGAAGAAGCGAGAGAAGGAGCUGCUGGAGUCAUACCUAAACACGGUCAAUGAUCGGAAUAGUAUUGUGGAGUGCCUGGAUGAGGACAGACUCAGAGAGCGAGAGGAGGACCAGAUGUUGGCAGACAUGAUCCAGAGGUUGGAUGGAUCUCUUGAGAGCCAGGAGCCAGAGAAGAAGAAGAACAAGUUCCGCUUGUCCAAAAUAUGGAAGCAGAAAAAUAAGAGUAAGGCUCAGGAGUGAUGUUCCUUUGCCCAAUGGCCCAGAGAGGGCUAUCAAAGGUAUGUUCCUUCCUCACUGCUGCUUUCUUGGAGUCAUGCAGGACUGUGAUGAGGCUCCUCUGCUCCCUGACAUGGAGACUGCAGGUUUGCGGACCAAAGGGACAGUGUGAGUCCCCUCUGGCCCUGGUAUGGGGUCCAAGCAUACUUUUCGCAGAAGAUGGACUUUUAAGACUGUUUUCCUUCUUUGGAUCUAGCUCAGUGCUGGCUGCAGCCUCGUUGGCAGCUCAGGAGGGCAGAGCUCAAUUUGCCCAUCCGCUGCUCGGGUCAUUCCAGUCCUGAAUGCAGGAGCAUGGCACUGCAUGUCGCCCCACGGUGCCCCACUCAUGUCAGCCAGGGGUGCACCAAGGAUGCUGCGCUGGUCUGCGAAAGGGCCAUUCUCCCUCCCUUCCUCCUUCUCUGCAUGUGCUGUGGCUCUUUGGCCGGGAUCAGAGAUGCAGAGAGGGAGGUGCUAUGGGACAACAGAGAUCGAGGGUCUCCCCGUUAUUACACCAAUGCAAACUGGAGCUGCAGGCCCCACAGCUGGGGUGAGGCAGGGAGCAGAACCACCUCUGUAUCUAUGGGGUGGGAUGUCCUAGACCCAGAGCGGUUUCAGCAAUAGUGCUCUAUUUCCAAACCUCCUUUUGGGAGUUGCUGUAGGCUGUUUUCUCAAAGCCAUGAGGGUUGCUCACUGCUUCAUUCCCUCUAUGGGGGAGCUUCCUUAUUUCUCUGACUGCACAGCAAAGCAGGGUUUUCAUUGUCUGUGGCCGAUCCUGCUGAAAAUGAACAGAAGUCUUGUUUUAACAACCUGGUGCUAACUGGGAGCAGAAGGGAAUUAAUGGGUUGGCCUUACCCAUGAGUCUUCUGCGUGGGACCAACAUUUCAAUUCCUGAGGCUCCGUCCCUGGACAGCCAGCGCCCUCAAGGGGUGCUGUGGUUCAUCUUGGUGAGACCAGGAGAGUAAGAGCAGGUCCUGAGCUGUUGGCAGCGAGUCUCUCUACUCUUCCCUCGGUCCAGUGACUGCAGCCAGACACUUGCCCUGUGUGGCAGCAUCCUCUCUUCCCAGUCAACCUGGGGAGCAGAAAUGGAGACAGACAGGGAAAGAUCAGACUAAUUCAUGAUGCCUCUAGCUCCGGUAUGUGUGGACUUCCCUCCUCCCUCCAAGCCAGGUACUUUGAGGUUUCUCUGGGUCCUGUUCUCCAGCAGGGCCUCGGAUUUUGCACGGAGGAGGUUUGCUGCCCGCUGUGCCCUGUGGCGAAGCAGAGGCGAUGCGUCCCUUACCCACGAGGUGGCAGUGGGACUCUCUGUCCCAAGCAGCCCGCCCCGGGCACCGCAGGGGUGUGCUCGGUGAGGUACCAAGUGCCCGAGGGGGUUCCUGGUGCCCACAGUGUGUGCCAUGUGUGUACGUGUGGUGGGGCACCCUGUACCUGCCUACGCUUUUUUCCAAUAAAGAAUUGCUGGAGCAAAUCUCGGAGUCCCAGUUCGAGUUUGGAUGUGGGUUACUGGGUGUGGGCUGCCCGGGUCGCUGUGAGCAGUGACGAUCCCUCUCCGGAGCUGUGAGUGGUAGCAGGAGCUUGGCGUACCUGUGAUGGAGAGGCUCCCCUGCCCAGAGCUCGCAGACCAGCUGCAGGUCCUGGGAGAGCAGCAGUGCCAAGGGGUUUCUCAGUGAUUUCGUUUACAUGUCAAACUCCCCCUUGCUCUCAGGUAAGUGUAUUUUCCCCCUUGCUGCUUUAGCAUCACACACGUCCCCAAGCCUUGUGAGAUCCCAGCCUAGCCAGCAGUCUGGGGGAAGAUGUGAGGCAGAGCUUGUUCUGCUGUAGUUGUAUGUGGCAUUGGUGACCCAAAUGGCUGAACCGAAAUUUCAUCAGGUAAAACGCUGAUGGAAGCACUGUCGCCACACUCUGCUCCGUGUUGGCCCAUGCUUGCCCAGAGGGGAAGACGAGCUGUUUUUGGGAGACAUGCUGACCACAGGGGCUGGUGUGCUGUGCCUUGCCAUCCAGGUCUGCUUGUCAGGAAGGUCUUUCUUUCCUGGGGAUGUGUGUAAACAUGCGGGGAGGAAGGAGGGCCCCUCUUCCAGACUUGGGCGUUAGCAGCAGAUCCCCAGAAUUAAACUUGCCUGUGUGGAUUGCCAGCUGAGAGGGAGGGAGCUGAAGCCACCUCUGCUGAAGGAGAGAAAUACCCUUCCUAAUAAGCAGGUCCCCCUCCUCCAGCUAUCCCAGGCUGUUAUUAUUGCUGGGCUUUCAUCUUUUCAGGCUCAGAUUCUCCAACCUCGAGAAGUUUAGGCUGUGUGUAUUUGGGGGUGGCAGCAUUGCCCAAACUCAUCCAAUCCUUCCCUCUCCAGGAGGCACAGCGCAGUUUAACCUUUGCCCACCUUGAAGGCAGGCAGGAGAUGUGUCUAUGCAGGAACGUGAUCACAAGAUGCUUAAGCAACAACCCCGGGGGCCCUGCAGUGGCAAUGCGUGCGUGGUUUGACCUGCUGUAGGGUUUGCUUUAGUGAGAAGGCCAACUGCUGCCAGAAAGCAGGCACUCGUUACACCUAGAUACGUGCUUACCCGCCUGCAAGAUGAGGUUUUGAAGGGAAAACUCUGCUGCUUCUCCCAUCUGGAGUCUGUUGGAGAUGAUAACCAUGGUCUAGGGGAUAUGAGGCUCACCUGGAAAUGCUGUGUGGCUUUAAAAGGUUUACAUGGUCUCUAGGUAGAGAAAUAUUGAGAACGAGAGUGGAGACAGGGCCCCAGCCUUCCUCGCCAUGCCACCGGGAACGGGAGGUUAUGCGCUGGUGUGAGGCUGACUUCAAGACUGACUUCAAUUAUUUUCUACACCAAAGAUGAGCGGAUAAAUAGUGGAGUAGUCAUCCAAAUGCAUCCUGCCCAGAGACCCGAACUCUUUUCUGUACUGAUGGAGCGCUGUCUGGUUGUGGCCAGGGUCUACUAGUACCAAGCCCCGUACAGCGUGCCGCAGCCCCACAGCUCCUGCACGCCCAGACAACUGCUGAUUGUGAACAUGAGGACAACCCAGCUUGUUCCUCCUUCCUCUACCUUGAAUUUGGGACUCAAAGGAUUUGCAUUUCCACCACUCUCCUAAUCCAAGGCUUCAAAUGAGCCCUAGAUGAACUAAGCCGUUGGCUAAGGUGGAGAAAGGGAAUGGCUUUUUUCCAGCUGGCUGCUUUCAGCUGAGCCGAUUCCCUGGCCUGACCCCCAUUUGCUCUCCCGGUGCAAGCAGCUUUGCUCACCCCAUGGAAGUGCUCCGGGAGGUGAAGAGGGAGGAUUUGGCCUUGGGACUGAGUGGGGAGGGAGGUGUUGGGAAACCAGCCCUCGGCUGCCUGUGCAUAGCGGUCACCCUUGAGUAAUUAGUCAAUCCAGGCACCCUCCUGUAACCGAACAGGAAUCGAAUUCCUCUCCAUUCUCUGCGGGAAAGAACUGUUUGUGCUCCGCUCCAGCCCCAUCAGACGCCGAGCCCCAAGGUCAGGCUAGCAGGGGGUUGACUGAUAUGUUGCUGUGUGCAUGUGGGUGUCUGCAAUUCGGUGAUGACUGAGAGCUUAAUUACUCUUCUAGGUCAGCUGCUCCACUUCCAAAAUGGUUUUAAGGGGGCUGAGCUUCCUGCUCAUUUCCUGAUGGCCUCCAGUUGGGUUCGUGGCCUCGCCAGCUCCUGGAUACCGGGAAUGCUGCCACUGCUUUCUUUGUAGCUAAGAGGAGCAUGGGGGGCUGUACAGGGCCUGGGGGCUGCACCCCUGAGCCUCUGCCAUUUAGGAGGCUCUUGGGGGUCCUUCUGCAGGCUUGGGGUGACGGGGAGGCUGCUGUCUGCUCCAGCACUUCAAGGCUUGCAGAUGAAGCUGUGAUUAGGCAGUGUGUGUAUGUCUCUCUCUUCUGCCGUUUUCUUUAAUUACAAUCUCGGAGGUAAUUUCUGACGCAUCAUUAACAGUUCUGAGUAAACAAGGGGAAUUCUCCAAAUUAUUCGCCAUGAGCACAAAGGGAAAUUGGCUUUCAUCAUCUCCCUCUUCAUCCAAGGAAGAAGCUGAUCUGCAGUAGGCACGGGGAGGAAGGGAGCAUCGUGGCUGCCCUCGGAUGCCUCGAGUCAACAUCAGAUGGAGCAGCAACCCAUCCAGUUUAUCCAGCUGACUGAGAGGCCAGCUCUGCCUGCAGCUUUUUGUCCCUGCUGCUGAGCUAAGUGGCUGGGGCUUGUCACGGUCGCGACUGUAAAUGCAAAGCGCCUCUUGCCUAUGAGAUCUUUGGGUGCUGCUUUUGAGUGUUCACCUCCUGUUUCCAGCUGGAUGAAAUGGUACCCAGGCUGCUCAGGAGACAGGACAGACCAAAAGCAUCCUCAGGGCCGUGUCUCGGCAUUGAAGGUGAUGCCCCGAUCCUUGGCUGUUGGGGUGAAGGGUGAUGCCUGAGGCCAGCAUGGGGUUGCGAAGGGAAGGAAGGAGCGCUGAUAUGGAGGUACUUGGGGCCUGCGAAACUAGGUUUGGUCCAAAGCGAGAACUCGGAGGGAUGCUGGUGUGCCCUGUGAAAGCAGCAAAUAUGCCUGGCGGCUGGGGUGAGAGGAGGUGGCUGGAGAGGACCCCUUUGCUGGGAGUCCAUGGGAGGACAUUCCAGCCUCGUGCAGGGCUCGAGGGAAAGGGGCUUCGUUAGAGGGGUGGCACACGGAGCUCAGACGAAGCAGUUGCAUCCCUUGGAGCACCCGCACACCCCCCACCCCGUGCACGACACUGACAGCCCCUUCACCCACACUCCGGCACAGUGGCAAAGCGUCUGCGGCAGCAACCAGGGGAGCGAAGGUUAUUUAUAUUCAUGUUGCAGCUCUGCCAGCCGUGACUCUGUUAUCUGCCAUGCAUGAAUAUUAUUUGAAUACAGAGUUUGUCGUGACUAUUCUUCCGCGUGAAACGAGGGAUUUGCUGUGGGAUGGGAGCCCUCCCUCCGGCUGUCAGUCAGGAAGGGUUUCCUUUUCCUGUCUCGUUGGAAGCCGCGUCCCCAGCAAGGUGAGACAGUGGACACUUUUUCUCUUGUUAAUAUCCAUGUCUAAUCUCCUCUCAGAGGGGCCCUUUGUCCUAGACUGUAGCCAAGAUGAGUAAUUCAGGGAUAGAUGAGACGCUAUAAUUGGUUUGUGACAAAUUAAAACAUUUUUCCUUCGGAGCUGAGAGCAGGACUGUGGUCUGGAGCUGUCAAGCGUCACAGGGGAGGGCGAUUUUUGGAGUAAGCGCAUUGCAAAUUGGCUCCAGAUACGCCUUGGAGUCUGAAAUUAAACUCCAGCUGGUGACUCUUCUCAGCUGGGGUUUUAUUUUAGGGGGGGACAAAGGGAACAUGUGCAGGGAGGGACAGCCUGAUCGAUAAAAAGAACGUGACUUUUUUUUUCACCGUGCAGUGAGCUGGGGACUGGCGUGAGCCGUGGCGGGGAUGCUGGGGAGCACCCAGAAGCAUGAUGAGAGUGAGCGGGCCAGGAGCUGGAGCCCACCAUUGCCUACCUUUCCUCCACGCUGCUAUCAAUGGUUCCUCCAUCACAUCCCAGCAAGGAAGGACCAUGAUGGAAAGUUGCAGCUCACACCAUCUCUUCCCUUGGUCGUGAGUGAGUGCCAGGGUUCCUGUUGUAGGGAUUGCACCAAGAUGACAAACUAGAGAGGUUUGAAAAAUGGAAACACAAUCCCCUGACUCCAGGAGCUCAGACUUAAAUAACAAAUACCUCAGGAUGCACUUGUGAGUGCUGAUGGAGCAGCUGACUCGGCGAGCAUGGAGGUGAACAACUCCAGAGCCCCGCAGAGCCCCGCAGUCCUGAUUUGCUGAACCCAGCGGAAUAAAUUCCUGUGUAGGAUGAUCCAUGUGCAUGGGCCCCCGCACGAUCAGGGCCAAUGUUUGCGAAGUGCUGUGAGAUGCUUGGAUGAAAGGGAGUACAGAAGCGCAAAGUAUUACUUUUUCAUGAUUACUGCAAUUGCUAUCCUUGGGGCUGUCCAAAUGUUGUUGUUCCAAGUGAAAAUAUAAAACCCUUUUGGCAUGUUUC